RNAcentral lists this ribosomal RNA (519 nucleotides) under uncultured bacterium. RNAcentral describes it as "bacterial SSU rRNA". It matches the Rfam family "Bacterial small subunit ribosomal RNA", at positions 8 to 524 of the family's 1533-position model. The record is from RNAcentral.
AGAGUUUGAUCCUGGCUCAGAUUGAACGCUGGCGGCAUGCCUUACACAUGCAAGUCGAACGGUAACAGGUCUUCGGAUGCUGACGAGUGGCGAACGGGUGAGUAAUACAUCGGAACGUGCCUAGUAGUGGGGGAUAACUACUCGAAAGAGUAGCUAAUACCGCAUGAGAUCUACGGAUGAAAGCAGGGGAUCGCAAGACCUUGUGCUACUAGAGCGGCUGAUGGCAGAUUAGGUAGUUGGUGGGAUAAAAGCUUACCAAGCCGACGAUCUGUAGCUGGUCUGAGAGGACGAUCAGCCACACUGGGACUGAGACACGGCCCAGACUCCUACGGGAGGCAGCAGUGGGGAAUUUUGGACAAUGGGCGAAAGCCUGAUCCAGCAAUGCCGCGUGCAGGAUGAAGGCCUUCGGGUUGUAAACUGCUUUUGUACGGAACGAAAAGCUUUGGGUUAAUACCCUGGAGUCAUGACGGUACCGUAAGAAUAAGUACCGGCUAACUACGUGCCAGCAGCCGCGGUAAU